RNAcentral lists this unclassified non-coding RNA (351 nucleotides) under uncultured Panaeolus. Its description in RNAcentral is "sequence contains ITS1". The stretch from base 1 to 105 matches the Rfam family "5.8S ribosomal RNA", at positions 50 to 154 of the family's 154-position model. The record is from RNAcentral. Lineage: Eukaryota; Fungi; Basidiomycota; Agaricomycetes; Agaricales; Bolbitiaceae.
GAAAUGCGAUAAGUAAUGUGAAUUGCAGAAUUCAGUGAAUCAUCGAAUCUUUGAACGCACCUUGCGCUCGUUGGUAUUCCGACGAGCAUGCCUGUUUGAGUGUCAUUAAAUUCUCAACCUCAUCGCUUUUGUGAUGAUGGCUUGGAUGUGGAGGUUUUUGCAGGCCGUUAAGGUCAGCUCCUCUCAAAUGAAUUAGUGGGUGCCCCGCGCAAACCUAUCUAUUGGUGUGAUAAUUAUCUACGCCGUGGAUCUUAGGAUUGCUGUAAAAAGGUGUUUGCCCUGCUUCUAAUCGUCUUCGGACAACUUGAACCAUUUGACCUCAAAUCAGGUAGGACUACCCGCUGAACUUAA